GCAAGUCGAGCGCUACCUUCGGGUGGAGCGGCGGACGGGUUAGUAACGCGUGGGAAUAUACCCUUCACUAUGGAAUAGCCUCGGGAAACUGGGAGUAAUACCAUAUACGCCCUUCGGGGGAAAGAUUUAUCGGUGAAGGAUUAGCCCGCGUCUGAUUAGAUAGUUGGUGGGGUAACGGCCUACCAAGGCGACGAUCUGUAGCUGGUCUGAGAGGACGAUC
Molecule: ribosomal RNA, 220 nt
Filed under: uncultured bacterium
Lineage: Bacteria
Description: partial 16S ribosomal RNA
Rfam family: Bacterial small subunit ribosomal RNA
Source: RNAcentral